RNAcentral lists this long non-coding RNA (1200 nucleotides) under Anas platyrhynchos platyrhynchos (common mallard). RNAcentral describes it as "lncRNA (ENSAPLG00000021243.1)". The record is from RNAcentral. Lineage: Eukaryota; Metazoa; Chordata; Aves; Anseriformes; Anatidae.
GAACAGGCUGCCCAGGGAGGUGGUGGAGUCACCAUCCCUGGAAGUCUUUAAAAGACGUUUAGAUGUAGAGCUUAGGGAUAUGGUUUAGUGGGGACUGUUAGCGUUAGGUUAGAGGUUGGACUCAUUGGUCUUGAGGUCUCUUCCAACCUAGAAAUUCUGUGAUUCUGUGAAUUGCAAAUUGCAUCUAUUACCUCUAUUCUACAGGCUGAUGGUUCACUUUUGCUUCACUGUCACUCAUUAUGCUGCUUACUUGUUUUAUUGUUUUCCUCUUGCCUUUUGAUGCCCCAAUCAAAGCUUGCUUAUAUGCACUAGCUGCAGCCAACAAACUGUGAAAUUUGGAUCCCAAAACAGGGACCUGUCAUUGAUUCUGUAUGUGUAAAUCUCUAUAGGUAUCACCACCUCAUUUUUUUUUUUGCCCCCCUCACCUUCUUUUAAUUGUUAAAAUUCUUACAUGCUUCAUUUUAAGGCAUUUUGAGUACAUUUAUGUGAAUGUAUCUAUAAAGUCACUUUUUGUUUAACCUUAGCUAAAGAUCAUACUUUCUAAAGAAGCAACCCCAGGUUGCUUUAACUAAACUGUAUUCUUGCUGCAGUUUUUACAAAGAUAGAAUUGCUGACGUUUUCUGUUAAAUUUUUAGCUCCUGAGAUUAUUGAAACGGUAAGGACCUUUACAACAAAUGAAGAAAUGAUUGUGGAAUGGAUAACCUCUGAACCAGAAGUAACUGAAUAUGUCGUUGAGUGGUAUGAGGAGCUGGAGACAGAUCCUUUCAGUAGAUCAUGGCAGUAUAUAUCAAAUUCUACAAAGUGGAAAGCUAACAAAAAAAUCUUUAAACCAUUUGUAUGCUAUAACAUGUCAGUGUAUCCUCUUUAUGGCAAUAAAGUAGCAGCUCCAUAUUCCAUACAAACUUAUGUUCAAGAAAAAGGUACGUAUUUUGUGAUGUUGUGAAAGGUAUGCUGUUAGGUUGUAUUUUCUUUGAUAAAUUAGGUACUGGCAUUAUUGAAGGACAGAAGCAGAUGCUGAGGAAGGUUCAGGUACAGCUCUGCUUGAACGUCAUCCAUUGGUUGCAAUGCUUAUGUACGGUAUACAACACACUUGGAAAGAGUAUAGCUAAAAAGACUAUNNNNNNNNNNUUUAUUUUAUUUUAUUUUAUUUUAUUUUAUUUUAUUUUAUUUUAUUUAUUUUAUUUUAUUUUAUUUUAUUUU